UCACACAUAUCUGCUGUUACUGCUGCUGCACGAGCGCUUCCUGCAGUACACCAUCCUCUGCUUCUGUCAGCUUCAUUAAACGAGUCCUUAAACGCAUCCAGCAGGUUUUUAUUUUUAUUUUAUUUUUCGUACAGAAUUAAUGCAAUAUAAUUCAGCUACUUUAUCAUCCUCAGACUCAGUUCAAAACUCAGUUGAGCUUGUCUCCGGUGAAACUUCUCAACAACGCAGCUGCUGAGAGCACGGGCUUUUUAAGUCCACAGGAGAGAGCGGUUCUCAGUGCCACCGCAGAUUUGGUGCACUCUUUCAAGGAAAUAAAGGUUUUGGAGUCAGUCAUGUCAUCUCUCAGCUACGAGUGAAAUGCGAGGCCGUGGUCUAAAGUUCGCAGUUCCCCCGUGAACAGCAGCGCUUCACCCGCUCAGAUUUCAGCGACACACAUUUCGGUAAAAAAUGAUUACAGAGAA
Onychostoma macrolepis is the source of this 461-nucleotide long non-coding RNA. RefSeq lists it as uncharacterized. The transcript has 3 exons. Lineage: Eukaryota; Metazoa; Chordata; Actinopteri; Cypriniformes; Cyprinidae. The record is from RefSeq and is a predicted model, not a curated record.